Molecule: long non-coding RNA, 1305 nt
Organism: Balaenoptera acutorostrata (minke whale)
Lineage: Eukaryota; Metazoa; Chordata; Mammalia; Artiodactyla; Balaenopteridae
Exons: 3
Source: RefSeq, a predicted model, not a curated record
UCCAGAUUUGGGACUUUAUCAAUUUAUUUGGUAGAUAGCAGUUCUCUCAGCAAAGGUAUAUUGCAUUCCAUCUCUGCAGACUUGCUCACCUUAGCCCGAGCCACAUCUCUCCUGUAGGACUUUUCUGAAAGAGGCAAGACGCAGCCCACACAUGCUAGCAUUCUGAAAUUCUACCACCAUUUUCUCUGAUACCUUAACCUCAGUUGGCAUGAGGUAUCACUGCCCCAAACCCUACCUUCUUAACUAAGCCAAUUCCAUUUUUCAGAUCCUUUUACUUGCUGCACCUUACUUCUAGCUACCAAAUUCCGUAUAGGUUAAGAUUCUUCAUUGUAAGUAAUAGAAUCAUCUUCAGCUACUAAACAGAAUGGGAUCGAUGGGGGGGCAGUGUAUAGAUAGCUCACAGAAUCUUUGGGAGGGCUGAAAGAACGGAACUUAGGCUGAGCUUCUAGGAACUGCAUCAUGAGACUGGGCUGCCAAAGAAGCUGCUGCUUUUGGAACAAUCAAGAAGCUGCCUGCUAAAUCAGGAAGCCACCUGCCAGAUUAGGAAGUCAUGAAGUUGCCAGCUCCAGAACCACACCACCUCUGCCUUGCUUUGUGUCAGCAAAAAAUGGAUAUUUCAUGUCCUGCUUCUCUCCCCAUGUAACUCAGUUCUGAGUAAAAGUUUCAACUGUGCAAUAAAUCAAGAAGAAGUUGAUAAAGAGGCAGAGUUAGAUGAUGACCUUCAUCAUUUUCAUGCAAGAUUUUUGUCGCCUGAAAAAGCUGCUAGAGAAGAUCAUCUUUACCCUUAACCACUGGUGUCUCAACUUGAUACUUGAAUAAUUCAUUUGUUUUUUGUUGGAAUUGAGAAACUAAGGUGUAUUAGGUAAAAUGCAGAGUUCCUAUGGGUGAUACAAUGGAAGACAGUAAUUACAGCUUGUUUUCAAGAUUCAUGGCCAAAGCUGGCAUCAGGCAGCUCAGCAACCAGGUCUGGUGUCCCUGAAGUUAUCAGCCCGUGAUGUUCUUUUUGAAAUGAAGAGUGCUACAAGGGAGUGUAGGGGGAGAAGAAAUGCUAGGUGCAAAGGGUAAUUCAUAUGGAAUCAGAGUAAUCAGCUUUGUGAAGAACAUGUCUAGCUACAAGUGUUUGUUAGUAGUAACAGCUAAAGAAUAACCAAGAUUGCUUAACUCUUUCAGGCCUGUUUAUGUUGUUUCCCCAGCCUGUUCAUUGUUUCCUUAUUUUCCUUGUUUAUCAGAAAAGAAAAGCCUCAUUUCUAUUUUGUUUUUGUAAAUUUAUUUAUUUAUCUUGGCUGCAUUGGGUCUUUGUUGCUG